RNAcentral lists this ribosomal RNA (491 nucleotides) under uncultured bacterium. RNAcentral's name for it is "partial 16S ribosomal RNA". It matches the Rfam family "Bacterial small subunit ribosomal RNA", at positions 29 to 506 of the family's 1533-position model. The record is from RNAcentral.
AGUGAACGCUGGCGGUAGGCCUAACACAUGCAAGUCGAACGGCAGCACAGUAAGAGCUUGCUCUUACGGGUGGCGAGUGGCGGACGGGUGAGGAAUACAUCGGAAUCUACUUUUUCGUGGGGGAUAACGUAGGGAAACUUACGCUAAUACCGCAUACGACCUACGGGUGAAAGCAGGGGAUCUUCGGACCUUGCGCGAUUGAAUGAGCCGAUGUCGGAUUAGCUAGUUGGCGGGGUAAAGGCCCACCAAGGCGACGAUCCGUAGCUGGUCUGAGAGGAUGAUCAGCCAUACUGGAACUGAGACACGGUCCAGACUCCUACGGGAGGCAGCAGUGGGGAAUAUUGGAAAAUGGGCGCAAGCCUGAUCCAGCCAUACCGCGUGGGUGAAGAAGGCCUUCGGGUUGUAAAGCCCUUUUGUUGGGAAAGAAAAGCAGCAGGUUAAUACCCCGCUGUUCUGACGGUACCCAAAGAAUAAGCACCGGCUAACUUCGU